CAGAUACUCCCUCCGUCCCAAAAUUCUUGUCUUAGAUUUGUCUAAAUAUAGAUGUAUCAAGUCAUGCUUUAGUACUAGAUACAUCCGUGUUUAGACUAAUCUAAGACAAGAAUUUUGAGACGGAGGGAGUAUAAC
Triticum aestivum (bread wheat) is the source of this 135-nucleotide non-coding RNA. The record is from Rfam. Lineage: Eukaryota; Viridiplantae; Streptophyta; Magnoliopsida; Poales; Poaceae.